GACGAACGCUGGCGGCGUGCUUAACACAUGCAAGUCGAACGAUGAGGCAAAGCAUUGAAGCUUCGGCAGAAAUUCAUUUCGGAUUAGUGGCAGACGGGUGAGUAACGUGUGAGUAACCUACCUGUUACAAAGGGAUAGCUUCGGGAAACCGGGAGUAAUACCAUAUAAGAUUGGGACGAAGCAUUUCGGUGCAAUCAAAGCUACGGGGGGCAGAUCUGGGCGCGCGUCACAUUAACCAUGUGGUGAGGUAAGGGCUCACCAUUGUCACGGUGGGUAACCGGGCUGAGGACGGGCACGAUCACACUGGAACUUCGACACUGUCUAGACUCCUACGGGGGGCAGCAGUAGAGAAUAUUGCACAAUGAAGCGAAAUGCGACACAGCCACGCCGCGUAAGACAUGAAGCAAUUCGUUUCGUACAACCCUGUUCUAUGGGAAGAAAAUGACUGUACCAGAUAAGAAAGCUCCGGCUAAAUACGUG
This 480-nucleotide ribosomal RNA is filed under the name uncultured bacterium. Its description in RNAcentral is "partial 16S ribosomal RNA". It matches the Rfam family "Bacterial small subunit ribosomal RNA", at positions 28 to 507 of the family's 1533-position model. The record is from RNAcentral.